AGGAAUAUUGGUCAAUGGACGAGAGUCUGAACCAGCCAAGUAGCGUGAAGGAUGACUGCCCUAUGGGUUGUAAACUUCUUUUAUACGGGAAUAAAGUUAGCCACGUGUGGCUUUUUGUAUGUACCGUAUGAAUAAGGAUCGGCUAACUCCGUGCCAGCAGCCGCGGUAAUACGGAGGAUCCGAGCGUUAUCCGGAUUUAUUGGGUUUAAAGGGAGCGUAGGCGGGUUGUUAAGUCAGUUGUGAAAGUUUGCGGCUCAACCGUAAAAUUGCAGUUGAUACUGGCGACCUUGAGUGCAACAGAGGUAGGCGGAAUUCGUGGUGUAGCGGUGAAAUGCUUAGAUAUCACGAAGAACUCCGAUUGCGAAGGCAGCUUACUGGAUUGUAACUGACGCUGAUGCUCGAAAGUGUGGGUAUCAAACAGGAUUAGAUACCCUGGUAGUCCACACAGUAAACGAUGAAUACUCGCUGUUGGCGAUAUACGGUCAGCGGCCAAGCGAAAGCAUUAAGUAUUCCACCUGGGGAGUACGCCGGCAACGGUGAAACUCAAAGGAAUUGACGGGGGCCCGCACAAGCGGAGGAACAUGUGGUUUAAUUCGAUGAUACGCGAGGAACCUUACCCGGGCUUAAAUUGCAUUUGAAUAAUCAAGAAAUUGGUUAGUCGUAAGACAAAUGUGAAGGUGCUGCAUGGUUGUCGUCAGCUCGUGCCGUGAGGUGUCGGCUUAAGUGCCAUAACGAGCGCAACCCUUAUCUUCAGUUACUAACAGGUCAUGCUGAGGACUCUGGAGAGACUGCCGUCGUAAGAUGUGAGGAAGGUGGGGAUGACGUCAAAUCAGCACGGCCCUUACGUCCGGGGCUACACACGUGUUACAAUGGGGGGUACAGAAGGCCGCUACCUGGUGACAGGAUGCUAAUCCCAAAAGCCUCUCUCAGUUCGGAUCGAAGUCUGCAACCCGACUUCGUGAAGCUGGAUUCGCUAGUAAUCGCGCAUCAGCCAUGGCGCGGUGAAUACGUUCCCG
Molecule: ribosomal RNA, 1016 nt
Filed under: uncultured bacterium
Lineage: Bacteria
Description: bacterial SSU rRNA
Rfam family: Bacterial small subunit ribosomal RNA
Source: RNAcentral